AAGGAAGUGCAAGAAAGCAGAACAGGAACCACUCCCUGCGAUGGACAGUUCAGCUGACGGUAAGAAAGUUUGUAUUAUGUUCAUGUGGUUUUUUUCCAAGUAUUAACAGCGUAGUGCUACUGACUGUCCUCGAUUCGUACAGCUCGAGUUAAAGAAGUGAGACUUGAUAUAGACGGGGAGAAGAAGCCAUCGAAAAGCAA
Molecule: long non-coding RNA, 200 nt
Filed under: Linum usitatissimum (flax)
Lineage: Eukaryota; Viridiplantae; Streptophyta; Magnoliopsida; Malpighiales; Linaceae
Description: long non-coding RNA (LUSI_LNC000014)
Source: RNAcentral